RNAcentral lists this long non-coding RNA (565 nucleotides) under Brachypodium distachyon (stiff brome). RNAcentral describes it as "long non-coding RNA (BDIS_LNC002277)". The record is from RNAcentral. Lineage: Eukaryota; Viridiplantae; Streptophyta; Magnoliopsida; Poales; Poaceae.
AGAAGGCUGACGUCACCCAUUGUACACGCCCUCAUAGAAUUUCAAAUUGAAUUCAUAUACCUAAUUCUGUGUCAGCCAAACAAGUUGAUUUCUGGAAUCCAAAAUGAGUUCCAUGAUUCUAGACUCAAAUAAUGGGUGUCAAACGAGUUGUUAUACUUCAACACGAAUUUCAUUUUUUUUUUCUUACCUUGAGUUGUUUUACCAAAACUGAAUUUAACCUUGAGUUGUUUUACACAAAUUUGAAUAAAUAGUUUUUGUUGUUAUAGGAUGUUGGGAGCACAUUAUUUAUCAUUAUUUAUCGACUGUUUUGUUAUAGUUUUUGUUUUACACACGCAUGUCGUUCUCCCUAAACACAAAUUCUUUCAACAUGAGCAUUGUCGAAGUUCCAACUUCGUCAUUGACGCCAUCUGUGGAAGUGGACGUGCGUUGAAUUUACGGUUCCAGCGGCCGCGUCUAAAUCGGCGCGUGGGGCUCCUCGCCAAUUUUCUUCGUCUGCAGGCACAACCCUUCCUGCCGCAAGCUCGAAGGCUCCCGACCUGCCACACUAUUGGAUGGAUUUUCUGGC